This 74-nucleotide transfer RNA is filed under the name Gemmata palustris. Its description in RNAcentral is "Gemmata sp. G18 tRNA-Arg". It matches the Rfam family "tRNA". From Rfam's summary of the family: Transfer RNA (tRNA) molecules are approximately 80 nucleotides in length. Lineage: Bacteria; Pseudomonadati; Planctomycetota; Planctomycetia; Gemmatales; Gemmataceae. The record is from RNAcentral.
GCCCCGAUCGUUUAACGAGUAAGACGCCGGCCUUCGGAGCCGGAGAUGGCGGGUGCGAGUCCCGUCACGGGGCU